Molecule: non-coding RNA, 883 nt
Filed under: Pan troglodytes (chimpanzee)
Lineage: Eukaryota; Metazoa; Chordata; Mammalia; Primates; Hominidae
Source: RNAcentral
UAGCUCUCCACGUAAUCGACGUGUUCGUCCUGCGGCUCGCUGGCGAUCUGCCGCAGCGUGGCCUUGUCCACGCGGCCCACUCCGAUGGCGAACAGCUCGACGCCGCUGGCCCGGGCCCGCGCAGACACGUCCUGCACGCUGUCCUGGGGCCUCCCGUCUGUCACCACGAUGACCACCUGCGACACGCGGGGCGGUGUGACACCGGGCUCCCGGAAGCCCACGGGACUGUCCAGGAGAGGAGGCUGAGGCCCGGAGAGGCGGGAGGACUGCCGGGUCGCACAGCCAGGCGGCACCCGGGGGAAGAGGACCUGGCUGGCCAAAGAGGAGACCCGUUUCCUCUGAGAGACGUGGCUGGGGGGCUUUCCAUCUGCGUCGCCUCCCUCGGGCAGGCAGCUCUGAGAUGCCCGGAGGGAUGUGAUGCCCCAUCGCCAAAUUGGGGCCUCUAAGCUAUGAAAUGGCCACCUCACGGGGCAUCAUGGGAAUCAAAGUGUCUGCAGGCAAAGCUCAUAACUCUGAGCGGGAGCCUCCAAACAGCAGCAUCCUAGCAGGGUGGCGUGCACGUACCUUGCUGAUGUCAGGGGACCUGGAAUGACCACCCUCUGCAUCGCCGAAGGCUUUGGUGAUAGCGAACUGGAUGGCCAGGCCAGUCAUGGUGCCUGUGGACAGCGGCUGGAUACGGCGCACAGCCUGCAGCAGUGCGGCCUUGGAGACGUGAGCCCGCAGCGAGAACUCCUGCUUCACAGUGCUGGCAUAGUUGACCAUGCCCACCCGGGUGGCAUUGGGCCCCACGUCCAGCGACUCGAUGACCUGGGACAGGAAUACCUUCACUUUCUCAAAUUCAACAGGCCGAACGCUGCGAGAGCUGUCGACAACAAACACCAGG